RNAcentral lists this ribosomal RNA (635 nucleotides) under Streptomyces sp. P52. RNAcentral describes it as "bacterial SSU rRNA". It matches the Rfam family "Bacterial small subunit ribosomal RNA", at positions 81 to 730 of the family's 1533-position model. Lineage: Bacteria; Bacillati; Actinomycetota; Actinomycetes; Kitasatosporales; Streptomycetaceae. The record is from RNAcentral.
UUCGGUGGGGAUUAGUGGCGAACGGGUGAGUAACACGUGGGCAAUCUGCCCUUCACUCUGGGACAAGCCCUGGAAACGGGGUCUAAUACCGGAUAACACUCCUGCCUGCAUGGGCGGGGGUUAAAAGCUCCGGCGGUGAAGGAUGAGCCCGCGGCCUAUCAGCUUGUUGGUGAGGUAACGGCUCACCAAGGCGACGACGGGUAGCCGGCCUGAGAGGGCGACCGGCCACACUGGGACUGAGACACGGCCCAGACUCCUACGGGAGGCAGCAGUGGGGAAUAUUGCACAAUGGGCGAAAGCCUGAUGCASCGACGCCGCGUGAGGGAUGACKGCCUUCGGGUUGUAAACCUCUUUCAGCAGGGAAGAAGCGAAAGUGACGGUACCUGCAGAAGAAGCGCCGGCUAACUACGUGCCAGCAGCCGCGGUAAUACGUAGGGCGCAAGCGUUGUCCGGAAUUAUUGGGCGUAAAGAGCUCGUAGGCGGCUUGUCACGUCRAGUUGUGAAAGCCCGGGGCUUAACCCCGGGUCUGCAGUCGAUACGGGCAGGCUAGAGUUCGGUAGGGGAGAUCGGAAUUCCUGGUGUAGCGGUGAAAUGCGCAGAUAUCAGAGGAACACCGGUGGCGAAAGCGGAUCUCU